AACGAACGCUGGCGGCGUGCCUAACACAUGCAAGUCGAACGGAGUUGUUACUUCGGUGAUAACUUAGUGGCGAACGGGUGAGUAACGCGUGAGGAACCUACCUUUCAGUGGGGGACAACAGUUGGAAACGACUGCUAAUACCGCAUAAUGUCAUCGAGCGGCAUCGCUUGAUGACCAAAGAUUUAUUGCUGAAAGAUGGCCUCGCGUCUGAUUAGCUAGUUGGUGAGGUAACGGCUCACCAAGGCGACGAUCAGUAGCCGGUCUGAGAGGAUGAACGGCCACAUUGGGACUGAGAUACGGCCCAGACUCCUACGGGAGGCAGCAGUGGGGAAUAUUGGGCAAUGGGGGAAACCCUGACCCAGCAACGCCGCGUGAAGGAAGAAGGCCUUCGGGUUGUAAACUUCUUUUAGCAGGGACGAAGAACGUGACGGUACCUGCAGAAAAAGCAACGGCUAACUACGUG
This 463-nucleotide ribosomal RNA is filed under the name uncultured bacterium. RNAcentral's name for it is "bacterial SSU rRNA". It matches the Rfam family "Bacterial small subunit ribosomal RNA", at positions 29 to 507 of the family's 1533-position model. The record is from RNAcentral.